RNAcentral lists this ribosomal RNA (1461 nucleotides) under uncultured organism. RNAcentral describes it as "SSU rRNA". It matches the Rfam family "Bacterial small subunit ribosomal RNA". The record is from RNAcentral.
CGCUGGCGGCGUGCCUAAUACAUGCAAGUAGAACGCUGAAGAGAGGAGCUUGCUCUUCUUGGAUGGGUUGCGAACGGGUGAGUAACGCGUAGGUAACCUGCCUUGUAGCGGGGGAUAACUAUUGGAAACGAUAGCUAAUACCGCAUAACAAUGGAUGACACAUGUCAUUUAUUUGAAAGGGGCAAAUGCUCCACUACAAGAUGGACCUGCGUUGUAUUAGCUAGUAGGUGAGGUAACGGCUCACCUAGGCGACGAUACAUAGCCGACCUGAGAGGGUGAUCGGCCACACUGGGACUGAGACACGGCCCAGACUCCUACGGGAGGCAGCAGUAGGGAAUCUUCGGCAAUGGGGGCAACCCUGACCGAGCAACGCCGCGUGAGUGAAGAAGGUUUUCGGAUCGUAAAGCUCUGUUGUAAGUCAAGAACGAGUGUGAGAGUGGAAAGUUCACACUGUGACGGUAGCUUACCAGAAAGGGACGGCUAACUACGUGCCAGCAGCCGCGGUAAUACGUAGGUCCCGAGCGUUGUCCGGAUUUAUUGGGCGUAAAGCGAGCGCAGGCGGUUUGAUAAGUCUGAAGUUAAAGGCUGUGGCUCAACCAUAGUUCGCUUUGGAAACUGUCAAACUUGAGUGCAGAAGGGGAGAGUGGAAUUCCAUGUGUAGCGGUGAAAUGCGUAGAUAUAUGGAGGAACACCGGUGGCGAAAGCGGCUCUCUGGUCUGUAACUGACGCUGAGGCUCGAAAGCGUGGGGAGCGAACAGGAUUAGAUACCCUGGUAGUCCACGCCGUAAACGAUGAGUGCUAGGUGUUGGAUCCUUUCCGGGAUUCAGUGCCGCAGCUAACGCAUUAAGCACUCCGCCUGGGGAGUACGACCGCAAGGUUGAAACUCAAAGGAAUUGACGGGGGCCCGCACAAGCGGUGGAGCAUGUGGUUUAAUUCGAAGCAACGCGAAGAACCUUACCAGGUCUUGACAUCCCGAUGCUAUUUCUAGAGAUAGAAAGUUACUUCGGUACAUCGGUGACAGGUGGUGCAUGGUUGUCGUCAGCUCGUGUCGUGAGAUGUUGGGUUAAGUCCCGCAACGAGCGCAACCCCUAUUGUUAGUUGCCAUCAUUCAGUUGGGCACUCUAGCGAGACUGCCGGUAAUAAACCGGAGGAAGGUGGGGAUGACGUCAAAUCAUCAUGCCCCUUAUGACCUGGGCUACACACGUGCUACAAUGGUUGGUACAACGAGUUGCGAGUCGGUGACGGCAAGCUAAUCUCUUAAAGCCAAUCUCAGUUCGGAUUGUAGGCUGCAACUCGCCUACAUGAAGUCGGAAUCGCUAGUAAUCGCGGAUCAGCACGCCGCGGUGAAUACGUUCCCGGGCCUUGUACACACCGCCCGUCACACCACGAGAGUUUGUAACACCCGAAGUCGGUGAGGUAACCUUUUGGAGCCAGCCGCCUAAGGUGGGAUAGAUGAUUGGG